AGAGUUUGAUCAUGGCUCAGAUUGAACGCUGGCGGUAUGCUUAACACAUGCAAGUCGAACGGAAACGAUACUAGCCUGCUAGUAGGCGUCGAGUGGCGGACGGGUGAGUAACGCGUAGGAAUCUGCCUGAUAGUGGGGGAUAGCCCGAAGAAAUUCGGAUUAAUACCGCAUAAUCUAUUCGUAGUAAAGUGGGGGACUUUCGAGCCUCACGCUAUCAGAUGAGCCUGCGUAAGAUUAGCUAGUUGGUAGGGUAAAAGCCUACCAAGGCAACGAUCUUUAGCUGGUCUGAGAGGAUGAUCAGCCACAUCGGGACUGAGACACGGCCCGAACUCCUACGGGAGGCAGCAGUGGGGAAUAUUGGACAAUGGGGGCAACCCUGAUCCAGCGAUACCGCGUGUGUGAAGAAGGCCUGAGGGUUGUAAAGCACUUUCAAUUGUGAAGAAAAGUUAACGGUUAAUAACCGUUAGCCUUGACGUUAACUUUAGAAGAAGCACCGGCUAACUCCGUGCCAGCAGCCGCGGUAAUACGGAGGGUGCAAGCGUUAAUCGGAAUUACUGGGCGUAAAGCGUGCGUAGGCGGUUUAUUAAGUCAGAUGUGAAAGCCCCGGGCUUAACCUGGGAACUGCAUUUGAAACUGGUCAACUAGAGUAUGGUAGAGGAAAGUGGAAUUUCUGGUGUAGCGGUG
This 684-nucleotide ribosomal RNA is filed under the name uncultured bacterium. Its description in RNAcentral is "bacterial SSU rRNA". It matches the Rfam family "Bacterial small subunit ribosomal RNA", at positions 8 to 683 of the family's 1533-position model. The record is from RNAcentral.